RNAcentral lists this ribosomal RNA (253 nucleotides) under uncultured bacterium. RNAcentral's name for it is "partial 16S ribosomal RNA". It matches the Rfam family "Bacterial small subunit ribosomal RNA", at positions 524 to 776 of the family's 1533-position model. The record is from RNAcentral.
UACAGAGGGUGCGAGCGUUAUUCGGAAUUACUGGGCGUAAAGCGCACGUAGUCGGCUUUGCAAGUCGGUUGUGAAAUCCCCGGGCUCAACCUGGAAACUGCAUCCGAGACUGCAUUGCUAGAGUAUGGGAGAGGAAAGCGGAAUUUCUGGUGUAGCAGCGAAAUGCGUAGAUAUCGGGAGGAACACCAGUGGCGAAGGCGACUACCUGGCCUGUUCUUGACGCUGAGGCGCGAAAGCUAGGGGAGCAAACGGG